CUCAAUUCUAUUUCAAGCACAUAAAAUAUUAGAAUGCCAUAUAAUAUUAAACUGCCCUUUUAAAAGAAUAGAAUCUUAGAACUCUUGACUAGACCAAUAAAAUUUAAAGAUUUGGGGGUUUAUUAUUUAUUUUUUACACUUCCUACUAUAUCUUGCCUGAAACCGAUAAAGUGAACGUGAAACAAAUGGUUACUGAGCCACUUGCCCCAGGUUAUUCAGCUCAGGUGGCUACUAGCUCCACUCAUAAUUACCCAAUAAAAAGGUAUGGGCGAGUUUUUUAAACGGCCCAAAAGGGGUGAUACUCUCCCAAACACCGAUUUCUCCAUACAGAAUUACCUUAAGGGGUCACCAAGUACCGCACUACUUGGGCCAUCGGGUUGGUAACCAAUUGAUCAAGCAACUAGAGGAAUG
This 411-nucleotide long non-coding RNA is filed under the name Manihot esculenta (cassava). RNAcentral's name for it is "long non-coding RNA (MESC_LNC006723)". The record is from RNAcentral. Lineage: Eukaryota; Viridiplantae; Streptophyta; Magnoliopsida; Malpighiales; Euphorbiaceae.